Molecule: long non-coding RNA, 1109 nt
Filed under: Acanthaster planci (crown-of-thorns starfish)
Lineage: Eukaryota; Metazoa; Echinodermata; Asteroidea; Valvatida; Acanthasteridae
Description: uncharacterized LOC110983552, transcript variant X2
Source: RNAcentral
AGCGAUACGAAUACGUGUAGUUACCUAGCUUAUGCUCAAACUAUGAGUGAACACAGAGUGAACGCAGAGUGAACGCAGAGUGAACGCAGAGUGAACGCAGAGUGAACGCAGAGUGAACGCAGAGUGAACGCAGAGUGAACGCAGAGUGAACGCAGAGUGAACGCAGAGUGAACGCAGAGUGAACGCAGAGUGAACGCAGAGUGAACGCAGAGUGAACGCAGAGUGAACGCAGAGUGAACGCAGAGUGAACGCAGAGUGAACGCAGAGUGAACGCAGAGUGAACACAGAGUGAACUAUUAACUGGAUUAACAAUUUGUAGAAUCCACUUCAUACACAAACGAGGGAAUCACUGAGACAUUACCUUGCUGUUGUGCUAUCCUCUGUAUGAUUUUUUUACCAUGUUUUAUGAUAAUGUGCAGGAAUCGAAUUAGCAGAGACUACUCCCUUGUUGAAUAGAAUACAAGGAGAAAAUGCUACCUUGGGAUGUUUCGUCGAAAGUGUUCCUCUAGGCUUUCCAAGCAUCUACUUUACAUGGUUGGUAGAUGACAAGGUUUUACAAGAUGUCUUCGACGAGCAGAAAUAUACCUUCGACUACGACAACCAUGGCUGUAAUUUGACGAUUGAUGACCUUCAAUUAACUGAUGAGGGAAGAUAUAAGUGUGAGGUUCGUUACUCGCUCACAACGGUGUGGAAAAGUACAACGCUGACAGUAGCAGUACCACCACAGUCUGUGUACAUCAUCGACGUGACAACUGGUAUUGUAUGGAGCAACCACUCGCACAUCCCACAAACCAGCAGCCAAAUGUUCACCUGCUUGGCUACAGACACCAAACCGGCGGCAGAAAUAACAUGGACAAUCAAUGGAAAGACUGCAGGCAUGGAGAGCAAUGAAGAAGUAGUCGGAUCCAGAUUAUUUAACACGAGUAGCACGAUUACCGUACCGCCCGUGCAGAGUGACCAACGAGAGAACCUCACGUGUACAGCCACUGGGUCUGGACGAAGAGUUGCUGUGACACUUCGCUUGAUUGGUCAACAAUCAGAUGGGAGGAGAGAGAAGUCAACUGCUCAGCCGUCAAGAAGUUCCCCAAAUUCUACAAUCAGAACGCCAA